Molecule: non-coding RNA, 103 nt
Filed under: Tissierella creatinophila
Lineage: Bacteria; Bacillati; Bacillota; Tissierellia; Tissierellales; Tissierellaceae
Also listed under: 1 other name
Description: Glycine sequence
Rfam family: Glycine riboswitch aptamer
About the family: This family represents the bacterial glycine riboswitch. Glycine riboswitches usually consist of two metabolite-binding aptamers domains with similar structures in tandem.
Source: RNAcentral
AUGAAGAAUGCGGAAGAGACUAUUUGAAUAUAGCGCCGAAGGAGUAAGUUAUAAACUAGCCAUGUAUAUCGAUGCUCUCAGGCAAAAGAACCGUACUUGGACA